AUGACCGGAUACCCCCAUUGGACCACAUGGCCCGAUGAGGAAAUGGACUCCGCUUCGGGAGGGGCUCGCGGCCUAUCAGCUUGUUGGUGGGGUAACGGCCUACCAAGGCGACGACGGGUAGCUGGUCUGAGAGGACGAUCAGCCACACUGGGACUGAGACACGGCCCAGACUCCUACGGGAGGCAGCAGUGGGGAAUAUUGCGCAAUGGGCGAAAGCCUGACGCAGCAACGCCGCGUGAGGGAUGACGGCCUUCGGGUUGUAAACCUCUUUCAAGCAGGGACGAUAAUGACGGUACCUGCAGAAGAAGCUCCGGCCAACUACGUG
This 325-nucleotide ribosomal RNA is filed under the name uncultured bacterium. RNAcentral's name for it is "bacterial SSU rRNA". It matches the Rfam family "Bacterial small subunit ribosomal RNA", at positions 165 to 507 of the family's 1533-position model. The record is from RNAcentral.